This 347-nucleotide unclassified non-coding RNA is filed under the name soil metagenome. RNAcentral's name for it is "partial contains 5.8S ribosomal RNA, internal transcribed spacer 2, and large subunit ribosomal RNA". The stretch from base 1 to 120 matches the Rfam family "5.8S ribosomal RNA", at positions 35 to 154 of the family's 154-position model. The record is from RNAcentral.
GAUGAAGAACGUAGUGAAAUGCGAUAAUUAAUGUGAAUUGCAGAAUUCAGUGAUUCAUCGAGUCUUUGAACGCACAUUGCGCCCCCUGGUAUUCCGGGGGGCAUGCCUGUCCGAGCGUCAUUGCUGCCCUCAAGCACGGCUUGUGUGUUGGGCUUCCGUCCCUGGCAACGGGGACGGGCCCAAAAGGCAGUGGCGGCACCAUGUCUGGUCCUCGAGCGUAUGGGGCUUUGUCACCCGCUCCCGUAGGUCCAGCUGGCAGCUAGCCUCGCAACCAAUCUUUUUAACCAGGUUGACCUCGGAUCAGGUAGGGAUACCCGCUGAACUUAAGCAUAUCAAUAAGCGGAGGA